Molecule: ribosomal RNA, 471 nt
Filed under: Homalopsis buccata
Lineage: Eukaryota; Metazoa; Chordata; Lepidosauria; Squamata; Homalopsidae
Description: partial 12S ribosomal RNA
Source: RNAcentral
AUACCCUACUAUGCCCCGCCGUAACCCAGCAAUCAAAUAACCAAUUGCUCGCCAAAUAACUACGAGUAAAAACUUGAAAUUUAAAAGACUUGACGGUACUUCACAACAACCUAGAGGAGCCUGUCCAAUAACCGAUAAUCCACGAUUCACCCCACCCGCUUUUGCCAAACAGUCUAUAUACCGCCGUCGCCAGCUUACCUUGUGAAAGAAACAAAGCAAGCCAAAUAGUACUAACACUAACACGACAGGUCGAGGUGUAACAAAUAAACGGGUCAAAGAUGGGCUACAUUUUCUUAAUUAGAAAAAACGAACAAAGUAUGAAACAACAACCUGAAGGAGGAUUUAGCAGUAAGGUAAAGACAGAAUACUUACCUGAAACUAACGCAAUGAAGUGCGUACACACCGCCCGUCAUCCCUGUAAAAUAACAUAAAUAUCCAUAAUACAUACAUACACCUAAAGCAGGGCAAGUC